UGUGGGAGCUGGCUUGCCUGCGAUGCAGGCACCUCGGUACAUCAGGCAAACCGGGUCGAUGCCAUCGCAGGCAAGCCAGCUCCUACA
RNAcentral lists this unclassified non-coding RNA (87 nucleotides) under Pseudomonas sp. bs2935. Lineage: Bacteria; Pseudomonadati; Pseudomonadota; Gammaproteobacteria; Pseudomonadales; Pseudomonadaceae. The record is from RNAcentral.